AUUGAACGCUGGCGGCAGGCCUAACACAUGCAAGUCGAACGGUAACAGGAAACAGCUUGCUGUUUCGCUGACGAGUGGCGGACGGGUGAGUAAUGUCUGGGAAACUGCCUGAUGGAGGGGGAUAACUACUGGAAACGGUAGCUAAUACCGCAUAAUGUCGCAAGACCAAAGAGGGGGACCUUCGGGCCUCUUGCCAUCGGAUGUGCCCAGAUGGGAUUAGCUAGUAGGUGGGGUAACGGCUCACCUAGGCGACGAUCCCUAGCUGGUCUGAGAGGAUGGCCAGCCACACUGGAACUGAGACACGGUCCAGACUCCUACGGGAGGCAGCAGUGGGGAAUAUUGCACAAUGGGCGCAAGCCUGAUGCAGCCAUGCCGCGUGUAUGAAGAAGGCCUUCGGGUUGUAAAGUACUUUCAGCGGGGAGGAAGGGAGUAAAGUUAAUACCUUUGCUCAUUGACGUUACCCGCAGAAGAAGCACCGGCUAACUCCGUGCCAGCAGCCGCGGUAAUACGGAGGGUGCAAGCGUUAAUCGGAAUUACUGGGCGUAAAGCGCACGCAGGCGGUUUGUUAAGUCAGAUGUGAAAUCCCCGGGCUCAACCUGGGAACUGCAUCUGAUACUGGCAAGCUUGAGUCUCGUAGAGGGGGGUAGAAUUCCAGGUGUAGCGGUGAAAUGCGUAGAGAUCUGGAGGAAUACCGGUGGCGAAGGCGGCCCCCUGGACGAAGACUGACGCUCAGGUGCGAAAGCGUGGGGAGCAAACGGGAUUAGAUACCCUGGUAGUCCACGCCGUAAACGAUGUCGACUUGGAGGUUGUGCCCUUGAGGCGUGGCUUCCGGAGCUAACGCGUUAAGUCGACCGCCUGGGGAGUACGGCCGCAAGGUUAAAACUCAAAUGAAUUGACGGGGGCCCGCACAAGCGGUGGAGAAUGUGGUUUAAUUCGAUGCAACGCGAAGAACCUUACCUGGUCUUGACAUCCACAGAACUUUCCAGAGAUGGAUUGGUGCCUUCGGGAACUGUGAGACAGGUGCUGCAUGGCUGUCGUCAGCUCGUGUUGUGAAAUGUUGGGUUAAGUCCCGCAACGAGCGCAACCCUUAUCCUUUGUUGCCAGCGGUCCGGCCGGGAACUCAAAGGAGACUGCCAGUGAUAAACUGGAGGAAGGUGGGGAUGACGUCAAGUCAUCAUGGCCCUUACGACCAGGGCUACACACGUGCUACAAUGGCGCAUACAAAGAGAAGCGACCUCGCGAGAGCAAGCGGACCUCAUAAAGUGCGUCGUAGUCCGGAUUGGAGUCUGCAACUCGACUCCAUGAAGUCGGAAUCGCUAGUAAUCGUGGAUCAGAAUGCCACGGUGAAUACGUUCCCGGGCCU
This 1363-nucleotide ribosomal RNA is filed under the name uncultured bacterium. RNAcentral's name for it is "bacterial SSU rRNA". It matches the Rfam family "Bacterial small subunit ribosomal RNA", at positions 28 to 1381 of the family's 1533-position model. The record is from RNAcentral.